CAUUGUGCAAUAAAUGUGUAAUGUGAAAGCCCUUCCAUUGCAGAGAUGGCUCAGAUAAUGGUGAUUUUUCUAUUUCCAGAGCGGAAACAAUGGAACUCUUUUCUCUCCAUGACGUCUGUGACAUCUGUGCGGUUGUUUAUACCAAGUCCACGGAGAGAAUUAUUUCACCCAUGGCUGCUGAACUUUACCAUUUAAUUUUAGCAACGGAACUAGGAGAAGUGAACCGUGAAGGGUUUUCUGGUUUAGAAAAGACCGCGGAAGAGUUAGCUGUGGCUACAGAAGAGCUGGCUUGUAGUGCAAAGAGGCUGGCCGAGGAAUCUGAGGAUGAGGUAUUUCAGCAGGAAAUGAUCCCAGCGGCCGAAUCUCUCCUGAUCUCAGGGAAAAACAUCCUUCUGGUGGCACAGAAGCUCCAGAUUCAACCUUCCGCUGAUAACUGUAUUGGGGAAUUGGCUGAAUCCACGAAAAGGAUUCUUUUGGAAACCAUAAAAGUACAGUAAAUGUAUUACAUGUACAUAUGUAUGUUUUCCCCAUCAGGGACUUGCAGAGAAGUAGCAAGUGAAAGCCUGUUGUGGUCUGUUUAGUCAGGCCCUUGUGUGGCUCUUGAAAGACUAAUUCCAAUUCAUUGUUGAAGGCUUUCAUAGCAGAAUCAUUGGGUUGCUGUGAGUUUUUUGGGCUGUAUGGCCAUGUUCCAGUAGCAUUCUUGAAGCCGCAGUGGCUCAAUGGGUUAAACCCUUGUGCUGGCUGAACUGCUGAUCUGAAGGUUGGCAGUUCGAAUCCGCAAGGCAGGGUGAGCUCCCAUCUGUCAGCCCUAGCUUCCCAUGUGAGGACAUGAGAAAAGCCCCCCCCCCUCCGCAGGAUGGUAACAUAUUUGGGCAUCCCCCAGGCAACGUCUUUGAAGAUGGACGAUUCUCUUACACCAGAAGCGACUUGCCUCAAUUUGCUUCUGACACGAUAAAUUUUUAAAAAGCAUCCUCUCCUAACAUUUUGCCUGCAUCUGUGUUUGUAUCUUCAAAGCUUCUAUCAGAAAAUGCCACAGAUAUAGGAAAAACGUCAGGAGAGAAUGCUACUCGAACAUGGCCAUACAGCCCGAAAAAUUCACAGCAACCCAGUAAUUCCAAUUCACUCCCAGGUUCAAAUACAUUGCUUAUACUUCAUUCUCUGCUUCAGACAAGAUAUUUCCAAUUCUCUCUAACCUCCUUGCUCAUAUCUACAAUUAAAGUGAACAGUUAUGGUAAGCUAGUGCAAGUGGCAAAAUCUGUAAACUGUCAGGUUUCCAGAGACUUUUUGAUUUCUCCAGAUGGGAUAUUUUUGAACAAUACCUGCCUGUCCAUUAAGAGCUGCUAAGUCUACUUUAAACUAAUGUAGGUUUUGCUCCUAAAUGUAAUAUUAUCACACAGACUGUUGUUACAACAACAGAGAAGCUUCACAUUUUUCUAGGAAGUAUAAGUAAAAAAGAAAAAAAAGUUAAAAAGAAAGGAUAGGAAGCCAAAAUAAUUGAUACACGAUCUUGCAAAACUAACAUAGAAAUGAACGUUCUAAAAAUUUAUAUUUAGCAACAUAAUAUUUACUGGUAAUUUAUUAAAGCUGUUGAUUUAUAGUUUUUGUGUUAUUUUUGUUGUGGUAAUCUCUGAGCGGUUAGACUCAAUUUAACCCUCUCUGGGGGAGAUUCCACCAAAAUCAGCAGAGUAGCAAAAACAAAGCUUUCAAAUGCAACAGUUACUUACACUGGUGAGCAAGAGAAGCCUUUUUAGGAUUGCAAUGGACUGCAGAGUCUCAAUAAAAGUUCAAAAAGUAUUUAUUCAGGUAAAAGGAACUCCAUUGUAGAUAGAAAGCCUUGGGAGCUGUCUAGAUUACUAUAGACUGGAUUCUAAGGAAAAAUAAGUAAGGAAAAGUAACAAACAUCUACAUAGUUACAUCUUGCCAGGAGAGAUGGCAGGAUGCUGCUUGUUAGUUUGAAGAACAAAGGGAGAAGAGAGAGAACCAAAAUGGUUCCAACCUCAUGGUCCAGUUUAUUGGGGCCAUAAAAGACACUCUGACCAAUUGGGAGUUAGUGUCCCUAAAGAUUCACAUUUCUACCAACUUCAAAGUAAGGGACGUGACGUAAACAGGAUAGAGUGAAACACAGUAAAGCCUGUCUAGGCAUGCUUUGGAAACAGGGAAAGGAUUCCCUCAAUCUAACUCUAUCAUCUAUCUAACUACAUUUGGACUUGAGUAGUCCAGGAUGAUUUCCCAACAAUCCCCUUCUUCAGCCUGGGCUGCUCAUGUCCAUCAGGUUCAACAUCUUCUUCAACUUAUCAUGAGCAUGUCUAGGCAGGGGUUUUGUCAGAAUGUCGGCAAUCAUGUCUUCAGAUCUGCAAAACUCCAACCUCAUAAAUCCUUCUUCGUGUGCAUUCUUCACGAUGUGGUAUCUUGUGUCAAUGUGCUUGAGCAAUGUACUGAUCUUCUCUGUUUGAGUAUACUUCAGACAACCUUGAUUGUCCUCAAAAACUUGUAUUGGUGUUGGUUCUUCGAUUCCAAAAUCAAAUAACAUCAUAUGUAGCCAUUUCAAUUGUUUGCAUGCUUCUGAUGCGGAAACAUAUUCUGCUUCUGUUGAAGAUGAAGCUACUACUUUUUGUUUCUGUGUUGUCCAGUCUAUCAGUGCAUCUCCGUAGAAGAAUAGAUAGCCGCUGGUAGACUUGCGAUCUGUAAUAUCAUUGGCCCAGUCAGCAUCCACAUACCCUGUCAGUGUAGGGUUGCUGGUGGCUUGUAGUCUCAACUUGAAGUUCAGUGUGCCUUUUAGGUAUCUAGCAACUCUUUUGAUUGCAAUUAAGUCAUAUUUGGUUGGUUUACUAGUCUUCCUGCAUAGUAUCCCAACCGCUGCUGAAAUAUCUGGUCUAGUGAUUCGAGAGAUGUACAACAUUUUCCCAAUUGCCUCUCGAUACAAGGUGUUGUCACUCAAUGGUUCACUUUCUGAAGUGUUUUUCCAAUAGUUCACUUCCAUGGGUGUAGUCACUGUAUUUGCUUCUAAGAGUCCAAGAUGUUUUAGCAAGUCAAUAAUCUUUUGUCUCUGAUUCAGGAGAAAGCUCCCAUCUUCUUCUCUUUCAACCUGUAUUCCCAAAUAAUGACUCAAAUUGCCAAGUUGUUUGAUUUCAACGGUACGGCUCAAAUGUUGUACAAGAUCAUCAAAGUCAGAUUUCUGUUGAAAGCAACACACUAUGUCAUCUACAUAGGCUAGAACAUAUGUCCAUCUGUUGUUUUUGAAUCUAGAAUAAAGGCAAGGAUCAGCUUUCCCUUGUGCAAACCCCUUCUCAAUUAACAUUUGAUUUAAUUUCUGAUUCCAGCAUUUUGCUGCUUGUUUUAAACCAUAGAGAGAUCGUUGCAAUUUGCAUACAUAUCCUUUGUGUGCCUUGUCUUCAAAUCCAGGUGGUUGUUGCAUAAAUAUCUCUUCUUCUAAUUCGCCAUGAAGAAAAGCUGUAGCAACGUCAAGGUGUUCAACAUUCAUUUUUCUAGAGGCUGCAAUUGCAAGCAAUGUCCUCAAGGUGGUGUGUUUUACAACAGGUGCAAAAACUUCAUCAUAAUCCUCUCCAUAUUGUUGUGAGUAGCCCUUAGCUACAAGUCUGGCUUUGUAUCGCUGUAUCUGUCCAUUUUCAUCACGUUUCAGUUUGAAAAUCCAUUUACAGCCAACUACAUUCCUAUUUUCUGGUGGUGGUACAAGUGUCCAUGUCUUGUUUUUAUGUAAUGACUCUAUUUCAUCUGAUGCAGCAGUAAGCCAUUUUUCUUUUUCAUCCUCUGGAAACUUCAGCAUCUGAUUCCAGGAUGAUGGUUCCUGUAGUUCAGCUUCAUUGGUAAGAUAAGCAAAUCUCUGGGGAGGGACCCCACGAUUUGUCCUUUGAGAUCUGCGUGGUAAUUGCUCAUUUUGUCCAUCGGGUGUCUCUGCACUUUCAUCUGGUCCUUGAGGGUGCCAUUGAUGUUCCUCUGCCAUGCCACUAUGUGGGUCAAUCCUUUCAUCGGGUCCUUCGACCUCAGAUGUCAGGGUCUCUCCACUGGGUGGCGUUGGCUCAUUUCUUUGAUCAGCCCUUCUGACCAGCGAUGGCAGGACUUUUCCAGCAGAUGGCGCAAUUGGCUCAUUUCCACUCUGCAGACCGCAUGUUAAGUCAUCAGAGUCAUUUCUUAACAAAGGCUCAUCAACAGGAGGCUGUAAAUUUCUUCCAACUCUUUCAUCUAUGUAAACCGUCUUUCCUACAAAAAUUAUAUUCUUUUCUGGAUCAUAAAGUCGGUAAGAUUUAUGUUCAUCAGAAUAACCAACCAGUAGGCAUUCUUUAGAGCUGCAAUCAAACUUCCCACUUCGCUUUUCUCUUGGGAUGUACACAUAGGCUUUGGAUCCAAACACACGCAAAUGCUUUACACUUGGAGAAUGACCAAACCACAAUUCAUAUGGGGUUACAUGACUUUUUGCAUUGGGCAUUCUAUUUUGCAAAUAACAAGCAGUAUUAAUGGCCUCAGCCCAGAAUUUACGCUGAAUUCCUGCAUGAUAAAUCAUGGAUUUUGCCAUUAUAAUCAAACUUCUAUUCUUUCUUUCUGCAAUGCCAUUCUGAU
Molecule: long non-coding RNA, 4575 nt
Organism: Anolis carolinensis (green anole)
Lineage: Eukaryota; Metazoa; Chordata; Lepidosauria; Squamata; Anolidae
Source: Ensembl